UACGUAGGGUGCAAACGUUGUUCGGAAUCACCGGGCAUAAAGGGCGCGUAGGCGGUUUGAUAAGUCCUCUGUGAAAGCCCCCGGCUCAACCGGGGAACUGCACUGGAUACUGUCGAGCUAGAGUGUAGAAGAGGAGAGCGGAAUUCCUGGUGGAGCGGUGAAAUGCGUAGAUAUCAGGAGGAACGCCAGCGGCGAAAGCGGCUCUCUGGUCUACUACUGACGCUGAGGCGCGAAAGCUAGGGGAGCAAACGGG
Molecule: ribosomal RNA, 253 nt
Filed under: uncultured bacterium
Lineage: Bacteria
Description: partial 16S ribosomal RNA
Rfam family: Bacterial small subunit ribosomal RNA
Source: RNAcentral